Molecule: ribosomal RNA, 328 nt
Filed under: uncultured eukaryote
Lineage: Eukaryota
Description: partial 18S ribosomal RNA
Rfam family: Eukaryotic small subunit ribosomal RNA
Source: RNAcentral
CCCUUAGAUGUUCUGGGCCGCACGCGCGCUACAAUGAUGAAUUCAACGAGUUUAUAACCUUGGUUGAAAAGCCUGGGUAAUCUUUUGAACUUUCGUCGUGAUGGGGCUAGACCCUUGCAAUUAUUGGUCUCCAACGAGGAAUUCCUAGUAAACGCAAGUCAUCAGCUUGCAUUGAUUACGUCCCUGCCCUUUGUACACACCGCCCGUCGCUCCUACCGAUUGAGUGGUCCGGUGAGGCUUUGGGAUCUGAGCGGAAAGAGCGUUUCGCUGUUUCUGCCCGGAAAACUCAGUCGAACCUUAUCAUUUAGAGGAAGGAGAAGUCGUAACA